RNAcentral lists this ribosomal RNA (434 nucleotides) under uncultured archaeon. Its description in RNAcentral is "bacterial SSU rRNA". It matches the Rfam family "Archaeal small subunit ribosomal RNA", at positions 564 to 997 of the family's 1478-position model. The record is from RNAcentral.
UGUGGGAAUUGCUGGAGAUACGUAUUAGGACUUGAGACCGGGAGAGGUUAGAGGUACUCCCAGGGUAGAGGUGAAAUUCUGGUAAUCCUGGGAGGACCGCCUGUUGCGAAGGCGUCUAACUGGAACGGUUCUGACGGUGAGGGACGAAAGUUAGGGGCGCGAACCGGAUUAGAUACCCGGGUAGUCCUAACUGUAACGAUGCGGACUUGGUGUUGGGUGGCUUUGAACUGCUCCAGUGCCGAAGGGAAGCUGUUAAGUCCGCCGCCUGGGAAGUACGGUCGCAAGACUGAACUUAAGGAAUUGGCGGGGGAGCACCACAACGCGUGGAGCCUGCCGGUUUAAUUGGAUUCAACGCCGGACAUCUCACCAGAGGCGACAGCUGUAUGAUAGCCAGGUUGAUGACUUUGCUUGACUAGCUGAGAAGAGGUGCAUGG